UACGAAGGGUGCAAACGUUGCUCGGAAUUAUUGGGCGUAAAGCGCACGUAGGCGGCUUAGCAAGUCGGAAGUGAAAUCCCACGGCUCAACCAUGGAAGUGCUUUCGAAACUGCUGAGCUUGAGUACGAAAGAGGAUCGCGGAAUUCCCGGUGUAGAGGUGAAAUUCGUAGAUAUCGGGAGGAACACCGGUGGCGAAGGCGGCGACCUGGGUAGAUACUGACGCUGAGGAGCGAAAGCAUGGGGAGCGAACAGG
Molecule: ribosomal RNA, 253 nt
Filed under: uncultured bacterium
Lineage: Bacteria
Description: partial 16S ribosomal RNA
Rfam family: Bacterial small subunit ribosomal RNA
Source: RNAcentral